Molecule: ribosomal RNA, 337 nt
Filed under: uncultured microorganism
Description: bacterial SSU rRNA
Rfam family: Archaeal small subunit ribosomal RNA
Source: RNAcentral
GUGCAGCAGGCGAGAAUCCUCCGCAAUGCGCGAAAGCGCGACGGGGUUACCCCGAGUGCCGUCCGCUGAGGACGGCUUUUGCCCAGUGUAGCCAGCUGGGCGAAUAAGGAGAGGGCAAGUCUGGUGUCAGCCGCCGGCGGUAAUACCAGCUCUCCGAGUGGUGGGGACGCUUAUUGGGGCCUAAAAGGCAUCCGUAGCCGGUCUGGCAAGUCCCUUGUUAAAUCCAACGAUUCAAUCGUUGGACUGCAAGGGGAUACUGCCAGACUAGGGGGCGGGAGAGGCCGACGGUAUUCCCCGGGGUAGGGGUGAAAUCCUAUAAUCCCCGGGAGGACCACCA